CAGCCAAAGCUGCUGCGCCUGCCGAAGGUUCCUAAGGGUCAAGGUUCAGCGGGGUAUUCCGUAUGCUCUCUGGCUUGGAGAAGGAUGGGGAACCUCCAAAUGUCUCCAACGCCCAUCACCCCUGACCACUGGGGAUGCUGGCCGGCGAGGAGGGCAGGCGGAGCCCCACCGCAUCUGAAGGGCUACACAGGCUUCCCACUGUUAUCCCUUUCGACGGAAAGAGCGGUCCCACUUCCCUUCAGCGGGUACCCGAACCCGAAAAGACUCCCACUUCAAGCGGAGGCUGGAUGGCCAUCUGUCAUGGAUGCUUUAGUUGAGAUUCCUGCUUUGCAAUGGGCUGGGGGACCCCAACCCCCCACAAUUCCCCUCCUUUCCUCCCUGUAUACCAGCUUCUUCCCCAUGUUUACAUUCCUCCUGGCUGGGACAGCCAGGCGUGCGGAUGAAAGGGGCCAGAGAUCGCGCGCCUAGGUCCUUCUGCGAAGCGCUCCGCGCCUCUGCCUGCCCUUUCGCCGUUCGCCGUUGCUGGCAGAUUCUCCCCAGUUUUUCGGCAUCGGCUGGCUUGAAGACCUACAGAACAGCCCUCGGCUUCUUUCCAUUCUCUUCCACAAAAAUAAAAUAAAAAAGCGUCCCCUUCUCCCCUCCUUGUCUCGCUCUCCCUCCCUCCCUCUCUCUCCGAUCUUUUCGGAAGUUUUGGUAGCUUGAGAUGCGCCCCUUACAAGAUGCCCAACAGGCGCGUCCGACGGCGCUGCCUCGGAUGAUCGGCUCGACAACUACGCUCGAAGCGGUUCUCUUGCCAUUACUGCGAAGCCCGGGUCUAGCACGUGUCAGACUGGGGAGAUCGCUCGUUUCGCGGGCACGGUCAUUCCGUCCAAUGUGCAGAUGGGAACAGCACCAUCCUAAGUGCUGAAGCGAGAGGAUAAGAGACGGCUGACUUGGGAAGCGAAAGGCAAAAGAAGGACAGACCCGCUGGCGUUUGCCCACCACGGAUUCCGAAGAUUGGGUGAGCGGAGCAGGAGGCGUCCCCCUUAAAGCUGAACUCCACCUUAUUCUCCCACUAUCACAUGACGGUGUGCGGUGCGGGAUGUGAAGAUCCCAGCACACGCGUCUCACCUUUAAGCUGCACAUCUGGAGAACUUCAAGAAAGUGUGACUCUUUAAUGGCUUGCAUAGAUGGGAUGGGGGAGUAAAGACUAUAGUCAUCGCCAUGGCUUUACUUCAGCCAGAAGAAAUGCAAGAACAUACCAUGAGCCCUGCUGGAUCAAGCUGUUAUAAAAGUUGUUGUUGUUGUUUAGUCGUUUAGUCGUGUCCGACUCUUCGUGACC
Molecule: long non-coding RNA, 1321 nt
Organism: Podarcis muralis (Common wall lizard)
Lineage: Eukaryota; Metazoa; Chordata; Lepidosauria; Squamata; Lacertidae
Source: RefSeq, a predicted model, not a curated record